GCUACGGGUGGCAGCAGUGAGGAAUAUUGGUCAAUGGGCGCUAGCCUGAACCAGCCAAGUAGCGUGAAGGAUGACUGCCCUAUGGGUUGUAAACUUCUUUUAUAUGGGAAUAAAGUGCAGUAUGUAUACUGCUUUGCAUGUACCUUAUGAAUAAGGAUCGGCUAACUCCGUGCCAGCAGCCGCGGUAAUACGGAGGAUCCGAGCGUUAUCCGGGUUUAUUUGGUUUAAAGGGAUCGUAGGCUGGUUGUUAAGUCAGUUGUCGAAGUUUGCGGCUCAAACGUAAAAGUGCGGUUGAUACUAGCAACGUUGAGUACGGUAGAGGUAGGCGGAAUUCGUGGUGUAGCGGUGAAAUGCUUAGAUAUCACGAAGAACUCCGAUUGCGAAGGCAGCCUGCUGGGCUGUAACUGACGCUGAUGCUCGAAAGUGUGGGUAUCAAACAGGAUUAGAUACCCUAGUAGUC
RNAcentral lists this ribosomal RNA (460 nucleotides) under uncultured bacterium. RNAcentral's name for it is "partial 16S ribosomal RNA". It matches the Rfam family "Bacterial small subunit ribosomal RNA", at positions 338 to 795 of the family's 1533-position model. The record is from RNAcentral.